GACGAACGCUGGCGGCGUGCCUAAUACAUGCAAGUCGAACGCAGUGGGGACGGGUGAGUAACACGUGGGUAACCUCCCAUCAGAGGGGAUAACACUUGGAAACAGGUGCUAAACCGAUACUGAUGGAUGGACCCGCGGUGCAUUAGCUAGUUGGUGAGGUAAAGGCUCACCAAGGCCACGAUGCAUAGCGGGCCGGAGAGGGGGAGCGGCCACAAGGGGACGGAGACACGGCCCAGACUCCGACGGGAGGCAGCAGUAGGGAAUGUGGGGCAAUGGAGGAAAGUCUGACCGAGCAAGGCCGCGGGAGUGAAGAAGGUUUUCGGAUGGUAAAACUCUGUGGUUAGAGAAGCGGUAUCUAACCAGAAAGCCACGGCUAACUACGUGCCAGCAGCCGCGGUAAUAC
Molecule: ribosomal RNA, 403 nt
Filed under: uncultured bacterium
Lineage: Bacteria
Description: partial 16S ribosomal RNA
Rfam family: Bacterial small subunit ribosomal RNA
Source: RNAcentral